CGCCCAACAGCUAGCCCACCUAAACAAUCACAACAAGCCCCUGUUACUAACCCCAAAAUACCCCCGUAUUUACUUUAAACAAACCAUUUUUCCCCCUUAGUAUAGGCGAUAGAAAAGGGCCCCCGGCGCAAUAGAGAAAGUACCGCAAGGGAAUGCUGAAAGAGAAAUGAAACAACCCAGUAAAGCCUAAAAAAGCAGAGAUAAGAUCUCGUACCUUUUGCAUCAUGAUUUAGCAAGUGUACACCAAGCAAAGAGCCCUUUAGUUUGACGUCCCGAAACUACGUGAGCUACUCCAAGACAGCCUAUUAAUAGGGCUUACCCAUCUCUGUGGCAAAAGAGUGGGGAGAACUUUGAGUAGAGGUGACAAACCUACCGAACCUAGUUAUAGCUGGUUGCCCAGGAAAUGAAUAGAAGUUCAGCCUCUUAGCUUCUCUUUUCCCCUUGGCCUAACCUCUACGGAUGCAUCAAGAAACUAAAAGAGUUAGUCAAAGGGGGUACAGCCCCUUUGAACAAAGACACAACUUUCCCAGGAGGGUAAAGAUCAUA
Molecule: ribosomal RNA, 546 nt
Filed under: Eumicrotremus orbis (Pacific spiny lumpsucker)
Lineage: Eukaryota; Metazoa; Chordata; Actinopteri; Perciformes; Cyclopteridae
Description: partial 16S ribosomal RNA
Rfam family: Bacterial large subunit ribosomal RNA
Source: RNAcentral